UACGAAGGGGGCUAGCGUUGCUCGGAAUCACUGGGCGUAAAGGGCGCGUAGGCGGCCGUUCAAGUCGGGGGUGAAAGCCUGUGGCUCAACCACAGAAUUGCCUUCGAUACUGGAUGGCUCGAGACCGGAAGAGGUUGGUGGAACUGCGAGUGUAGAGGUGAAAUUCGUAGAUAUUCGCAAGAACACCAGUGGCGAAGGCGGCCAACUGGUCCGGUUCUGACGCUGAGGCGCGAAAGCGUGGGGAGCAAACAGGAUUAGAAACCCCCGUAGUCC
RNAcentral lists this ribosomal RNA (273 nucleotides) under uncultured bacterium. RNAcentral's name for it is "partial 16S ribosomal RNA". It matches the Rfam family "Bacterial small subunit ribosomal RNA", at positions 524 to 796 of the family's 1533-position model. The record is from RNAcentral.